This 301-nucleotide ribosomal RNA is filed under the name uncultured bacterium. Its description in RNAcentral is "partial 16S ribosomal RNA". It matches the Rfam family "Bacterial small subunit ribosomal RNA", at positions 509 to 807 of the family's 1533-position model. The record is from RNAcentral.
CAGUAGCCGCGGGAAUACGGAGGAUCCGAGCGUUAUCCGGAUUUAUUGGGUUUAAAGGGUGCGUAGGCGGCCUAUUAAGUCAGGGGUGAAAGACGGUAGCUUAACUAUCGCAGUGCCUUUGAUACUGAUGGGCUUGAAUAUACUUGAGGUAGGCGGAAUGUGACAAGUAGCGGUGAAAUGCAUAGAUAUGUCACAGAACGCCAAUUGCGAAGGCAGCUUACUAAGGUAUGAUUGACGCUGAGGCACGAAAGCGUGGGGAUCAAACAGGAUUAGAUACCCCAGUAGUCCCUGUCUCUUAUAC